RNAcentral lists this ribosomal RNA (653 nucleotides) under Vibrio sp. MR06-61. Its description in RNAcentral is "bacterial SSU rRNA". It matches the Rfam family "Bacterial small subunit ribosomal RNA", at positions 1 to 670 of the family's 1533-position model. The record is from RNAcentral. Lineage: Bacteria; Pseudomonadati; Pseudomonadota; Gammaproteobacteria; Vibrionales; Vibrionaceae.
GUUGUCUUCUAGUCUGCGUGCAGUCGUGCGGGGUGACAAAUCCAAACCUUCGGGUGAACUUAAUGGGCGUCGAGCGGCGGACGGGUGAGUAAUGCCUAGGAAAUUGCCUUGAUGUGGGGGAUAACCAUUGGAAACGAUGGCUAAUACCGCAUAAUGCCUACGGGCCAAAGAGGGGGACCUUCGGGCCUCUCGCGUCAAGAUAUGCCUAGGUGGGAUUAGCUAGUUGGUGAGGUAAUGGCUCACCAAGGCGACGAUCCCUAGCUGGUCUGAGAGGAUGAUCAGCCACACUGGAACUGAGACACGGUCCAGACUCCUACGGGAGGCAGCAGUGGGGAAUAUUGCACAAUGGGCGAAAGCCUGAUGCAGCCAUGCCGCGUGUAUGAAGAAGGCCUUCGGGUUGUAAAGUACUUUCAGUUGUGAGGAAGGGGGUAGCGUUAAUAGCGCUAUCUCUUGACGUUAGCAACAGAAGAAGCACCGGCUAACUCCGUGCCAGCAGCCGCGGUAAUACGGAGGGUGCGAGCGUUAAUCGGAAUUACUGGGCGUAAAGCGCAUGCAGGUGGUUCAUUAAGUCAGAUGUGAAAGCCCGGGGCUCAACCUCGGAACUGCAUUUGAAACUGAUGAACUAGAGUACUGUAGAGGGGGGGUAGAAUUUC